GACGAACGCUGGCGGCGUGCUUAACGCAUGCAAGUCGAACGAUGAUCAGGAGCUUGCUCCUGUGAUUAGUGGCGAACGGGUGAGUAACACGUGAGUAACCUGCCCCUGACUCUGGGAUAAGCGUUGGAAACGACGUCUAAUACUGGAUAUGAUCACUGGCCGCAUGGUCUGGUGGUGGAAAGAUUUUUUGGUUGGGGAUGGACUCGCGGCCUAUCAGCUUGUUGGUGAGGUAAUGGCUCACCAAGGCGACGACGGGUAGCCGGCCUGAGAGGGUGACCGGCCACACUGGGACUGAGACACGGCCCAGACUCCUACGGGAGGCAGCAGUGGGGAAUAUUGCACAAUGGGCGAAAGCCUGAUGCAGCAACGCCGCGUGAGGGAUGACGGCCUUCGGGUUGUAAACCUCUUUUAGUAGGGAAGAAGCGAAAGUGACGGUACCUGCAGAAAAAGCACCGGCUAACUACGUG
Molecule: ribosomal RNA, 467 nt
Filed under: uncultured bacterium
Lineage: Bacteria
Description: partial 16S ribosomal RNA
Rfam family: Bacterial small subunit ribosomal RNA
Source: RNAcentral